GGCAGUUUGGUGGAGUGGUCUAACACGCUAGACUGUGAGUACCUGCGAGCAAAUUUGGUUCUGACAUUCAAACUAACUUCCCAUCAGUGAAUUUCCAUUCGAGGUAUCUAGUCCUUUCGAGGGCGCAGGUUCGAACCCUGCAACUGUCG
This 149-nucleotide transfer RNA is filed under the name Penicillium digitatum. RNAcentral describes it as "tRNA-His". It matches the Rfam family "tRNA". From Rfam's summary of the family: Transfer RNA (tRNA) molecules are approximately 80 nucleotides in length. Their secondary structure includes four short double-helical elements and three loops (D, anti-codon, and T loops). The record is from RNAcentral. Lineage: Eukaryota; Fungi; Ascomycota; Eurotiomycetes; Eurotiales; Aspergillaceae. RNAcentral also lists the same sequence under 1 other name.